Molecule: non-coding RNA, 138 nt
Organism: Ornithorhynchus anatinus (platypus)
Lineage: Eukaryota; Metazoa; Chordata; Mammalia; Monotremata; Ornithorhynchidae
Source: Rfam
CCCCUCUCAGGGUCGCACCUGGAGAGCUUCCAGUACUCUACCAGUCUCGACUACGGGAGGGAGAGUCAAGCAGAUGCCUACUCAUUCCAUUCCUAGCUUGUGCAGUGGCUAGUGAGUGGAAGGCAAUCUGCUACAAAU